GCCUUGUCGUAGAGCAUGGCGCCUACCACCGCCUCACGGGCGGUGGAUGCGAGCCGGGACCGCUAUUCGGUCCCGGCGGGCUGGACG
Molecule: transfer RNA, 87 nt
Filed under: freshwater metagenome
Description: tRNA-Val
Source: RNAcentral